AUGCUCUGUUCAUGGCUUUGUUCUUAUUUUAUCCUUCUUUCUUUGCUUUGUUCUUUCCUACAAGAAGAUGCCGAGUUGUGUCAUAUGUUCAAAGAAGAGAAUCUGCAUUUUAUGAAUGCUCUCUUCUUUCUUCAUUGUUACCUCAAGUUAGUGCAUUUAGUUAAGUUUUACCGAGUAGCUUCAUACGCAUGGUUUCUCCCUCUACACGUCUUAUUCAGUCAUGAGGCCAUUAAGAUCUUUUGCCUUUUAGAAAAAGGGAGAUGCCGUUUAGACCUUACUCUGUCCAACUUGAUCUUUAACUUGCUACUACUAUUUCUAAGAAUUUUCCCAAGCACUGUUUUAUUUGCUACAGAGAAUGAGGUCACCUUAUUCAGUGAAUGUUCCAAGUAA
Molecule: ribosomal RNA, 390 nt
Filed under: Triticum aestivum (bread wheat)
Lineage: Eukaryota; Viridiplantae; Streptophyta; Magnoliopsida; Poales; Poaceae
Description: partial small subunit ribosomal RNA
Source: RNAcentral